This 497-nucleotide ribosomal RNA is filed under the name uncultured bacterium. RNAcentral describes it as "partial 16S ribosomal RNA". It matches the Rfam family "Bacterial small subunit ribosomal RNA", at positions 28 to 507 of the family's 1533-position model. The record is from RNAcentral.
GAUGAACGCUGGCGGCGUGCCUAAUACAUGCAAGUCGAGCGAACAGACGAGGAGCUUGCUCCUCUGACGUUAGCGGCGGACGGGUGAGUAACACGUGUAUAACCUACCUAUAAGACUGGGAUAACUUCGGGAAACCGGAGCUAAUACCGGAUAAUAUAUUGAACCGCAUGGUUCAAUAGUGAAAGACGGUUUUGCUGUCACUUAUAGAUGGAUCCGCGCCGCAUUAGCUAGUUGGUAAGGUAACGGCCUACCAAGGCGACGAUGCGUAGCCGACCUGAGAGGGUGAUCGGCCACACUAGAACGGAGACACGGUCCAGACGCCUACGGGAGGCAGCAGUAGCGAAUCUUCCGCAAUGGGCGAAAGCCUGACGGAGCAACGCCGCGUGAGUGAUGAAGGUCUUCGGAUCGUAAAACUCUGUUAUUAGGGAAGAACAAAUGUGUAAGGAACUAUGCACGUCUUGACGGUACCUAAUCAGAAAGCCACGGCUAACUACGUG